Molecule: long non-coding RNA, 1217 nt
Filed under: Equus caballus (horse)
Lineage: Eukaryota; Metazoa; Chordata; Mammalia; Perissodactyla; Equidae
Description: lncRNA (ENSECAG00000050844.1)
Source: RNAcentral
CAUUAAAAAUGCAAAUGAUUUUUUAAUAGUGAGUUUGUUUGUAUCGGGACAUGUAAGACCCAUAGAUUGCAUUUGAUUGAUAUUUCCUUUAAGUUCAUAGGUUUCCCUCCCCACCCCUUGCAAUUAUUGUUGAAGAAAUUGGGCAGUUUAUCUUGGAUCUUGCUGAUUGCAUUCCCAUAAUGUCAUUUUACACAUUCCUCUGUCCCCUGUAUUUCCUGCAAACUGGUAGAUCUAGAGCCUUCUUGAGAUUCAGGUUUGGUUUUUCUUGUUUGCCAGGAGUACUUCACAGGUGGUGCUGUGUCAGGAGUCACAUGGAAUCAUUUUGUGGUGUGAGCAGCCGUCGAUGAUCAUGCCCAGAUCCAUUAAUUCAUUAGCAAGGUAGCUGUGGUUCGGGGAGAUGGAGUGCCCUGUUCUGGGUCACACAGCUAGCUGGUGGAAGAGCCGACAAUGGAGUCCAGGCCUGCCUGAGUCAAAGUGAAGACGUAUUCUUCCUGUGGUUUCGGUAUCCAACAGACUUUGGGACAGGAUAUUCAUUAGGGCAGCGCAUUACGGCAUAUUUUAUUACCUUAAAUUUGGAGACAGUUAGCCCCUCUGCUGGGAGUCCUUUCCCUGUAUCCCACAUGGCAAUGUCCUGCCCAUCCUUCAGACACCAGCUCAAGCCCCAUAUCUCUCAGCUCUCCUGCCAUAUUCCUACAGUCCACUGUUUCUCCUACCAUCCAUCUGCCCUGAAUCUGAGCUAUGUGUGCACCCCUCCCCCUCAGUAGCAGAGAUGGAGUGCUCUCAAGAGCAGACUCCAUGCCAGACUCAUCCUUGUAUUUCCCUGUAUGACCCUCAGUGCCCAACACCAUGCCAGGCACACAGUGGUCACUUAGUCGCUUUGAAUUGUUGCAGAAUGUGUAGGCUAAUCCUUCAAGUUUGAAGGCGAGGGUUAAUCCGCUCAUCUCUUCUUCCCACCCUCAGACAUGUUCAUCCAGGGGACAGAGACACAAAUUCUGUUGCAAGUUGGCACAGCUAAGAUGAAUAGCUGAGUAGAGACGUGGCACCUGCAACAAAGUUUAAGGAAAAAAAGAGUUAACAGACAAGGAGGCUGCUGACGGCUGUGGCCUCUAAAGUGGGUUGCACCUGAUGAUUGGCUGGCGCAGAGGAAGAAAACUUAAACCUUCUAUUUGUAUUGAAUUUUUAACUCAUCCUUCAAAAAUGCUUACUUUCGUGUAUGC